RNAcentral lists this long non-coding RNA (3352 nucleotides) under Citrus sinensis (sweet orange). RNAcentral describes it as "long non-coding RNA (CSIN_LNC002273)". Lineage: Eukaryota; Viridiplantae; Streptophyta; Magnoliopsida; Sapindales; Rutaceae. The record is from RNAcentral.
UGGCGUAGCAUGUUGAUUUCAUCAUCUGAACGUUCAGUAUCUGGGAUGUCAUAAAACUGAGCAACACAGUCAAAAUACUCAAGACGCUUCCUUCUUAGGACUCCCUCCCUUCUAUCUGAAUUAGGUGGUGCAUAUCCCUGUUGUCAGUUCAUAUUUAAAUUUCAAACAGUAAUGAAACUAUAUUCAAUAAAGAUAACUGUCAGUAAAAUGAUGCCGGAAUUAGGUAAAUCCCAACAUUUGGAUGGUGACAGACCACUGUAUUUGUAACUGUUGCAAUAGAAAUUGCCAGUGUCACUACAAUAAUGAUGGAAUAUACCCCACUGAGGAAAUUUUAAGUCCAUAUUAACCGUAUCAUCCAGCAUCUUUUUUCUCGCUAAAACAUUGAGAGCAGAGAGUUACCAGGUUUCAGGAGGCUAUUAAGUUACUAUGCUACAGGGACUAUUCACCACCAAAGAAUGUGCAGAAGGAGAAAUUAAGCAAAAAUAUCAUUGGAAAAAUUAGACAGCAUGAUACAGAUUUGCACAAUGAACCAAUGCACGGAAAGCUAAUUCAUCUAGCACAUGUUAGUGCUAUAUUAUAGAUCCAAAAUUGAGGAAUAACUCAGAAUUCGAUUCUCCUUAAUGUUAGGUAGAAAACCAUCAACUGGUAUGUGCUAAAAAAGUGGGCUAUAAAUCUUUUUUAUUUUUUAAUAAAAAAAUGAAACUUGUAUUUAACAUUAAAGAUGAAGAUUCAGUAAGGUGAAGUGGACCAGCUGUCCAUUAAGUAAACAAAAAAGAAAAAUAAAGCCUUCAACAUUAAACAUUGACAGAACUUAGUCGCAACAUCCACAUCAACUUUCAGGACCUAUGAUUCACAACUAAUGGAUCAUUUCUGAAGAACAAGACAUAAUCCAGAUCAAUAACUCAACAUGUAAGUUCAAAAGCUUUUUUAGUGCAAAAUAGGAAAGAAAGCAGAACAAGUGAGAAAUAAUGUACAGAGUUUUCAAAACGUCUGAAAGUCUUAAUACGUAAACUACACACACAAUAAGGAAAUCGUGGUAUUUUUUAGUUUGGAGCAUAGAAUGCAUCCACAUAAAGGCAACCCCAAUCUUUUAACUAAACAGAAUGAGAUUGGAAACUUUCUUUACUAUUGAGGAUCAAGAAGAUACAGACAAAGUUAAUACAACUUGUGGAUCAAAAGGAGCUGACAGUAUUUUGAGCUUGAUUCGAUCAUAACAAAUGCAUAUUAAAAUUCAAACAAACAUAUCUUGUGACCAUAUCAUGGUCAUCACCCAUCAAUUUGAAUCAAGAUCAGGAUCUUUGACGGCAGAAGAACCCAAGCAUGUUACGGCCACUAGAUGGAUGAGACUAGUAUAUGUAUAUUUCAACGUGUAGUUGAGAAGUAAGACUUAACCAAAAGCAUGAAUUCGUUUACCAAAUUGAAGAUCUAAUUGACUGCUAAAAUAUUCACUAUCAACUGAAAAUCUUAUCCUUCUAUUUACUUUGAGCUAACGCACUCAUAAAAAUUUUGUGCUACUAGCACAGAGUGUCAUAAAAGCAUUGGUGUAACUAAGUGUAAAAGGAUAACAAAGCAUCUAACCAUGUAUACAGAAUGCGCUCCAAGGAUUUCUGAACUUGCACUUGCUGAAAGAAAGUAACAUCAGGCACAGUUCUUGGACAAUCGACAGCAAUCUAACAAAGACAAGAAAGAUCACUAUCAAGUAUUUGAUAGUGAUCAUUUGAAAAGAUCAAUAAAGAUCAAGAUGGAUAAUCAGUUUUGCUGAAAAUACCUGGCGAAGCAUGUUGAUUUCAUCAUCUGAACGUUCAGUAUCUGGGAUGUCAUAAAACUGAGCAACACAAUCAAAAUACUCAAGACGCUUCCUUCUUAGGACUCCCUCCCUUCUAUCUGAAUUAGGUGGUGCAUAUCCCUGUUGUCAGUUCAUAUUUAAAUUUCAAACAGUAAUGAAACUAUAUUCAAUAAAGAUAACUGUCAGUAAAAUGAUGCCGGAAUUAGGUAAAUCCCAGCAUUUGGAUGGUGACAGACCACUGUAUUUUUAACCGUUGCAAUAGACAACUUAAAAUCAGAAGAGAAACUGAAAUUUCAUGGAUUGUUUCAAAUAGAACGAAUAUUCAUAGCCAACUUUCAAAGCCCAAUCUUCACCAUAAGUCAAAGGCAAUAGCUGCUGAAAAUAAUUCUGUUACACUAAAAAGGGUGCAAGCAAGCUUUCUCAUCAUUCCAUUCCUCCCUCACACCAAAGUUAGCACAGAUCAACUGAUAACAAAGUUUGCAAGGAGCUAUACCGUAAGUGUCUGUUUGUCAUCGUAUAGAAAAACAUAAAUUACCACAAGGGCAAGAUUGCUUAUACCAUAUUAGCACCAUUUUGAAGAGGGUAAAGUUUUAGAAAGCUAAGAUUAGCAUUUGCCAUCUAAAAUAUGCAGAAAGUCUUGAACAGAUCAACAACAGAAAACCCAUCCCACAAUUUCUCAUAAGACAAGCUAGUCUCUAGCAUAAUUGACCAAUAAUAUUAUCCAACUCAAAUUUUUCAUCACAUUGUUACUUAAAACUGAUCCCAAGUCUUAGAGCAUCAAGCUCACCAAAAGAAGCCUCCAUACAGUAGGGCGCAUGUACGGUGGUACACCACUCCAAGCUAACUCGCGUAAUCUCUCUGCAUGACCGGGUAAAGAAAGGAAUUAUAUUAAAUGUGAUAAGCUAAUGGACAAAAAAUAGUAUUCCCAAUAUCAAUCAAAACCAAAUGAGUUGCAGGUAAAGUUUUUUCAGAUACAAUUUGUUUAAAUCAAAGUGCUAUACUGAAAAAAAGAAUAAAAGGAUGAUAUCAAAUUAAUUAGGAUGCCACUAUUUGCAAAAUGUAGAAAUGAAAACUUCAUAGCAGGACCAUAUAUCAUUUUUUCUCACUUUUUUGACAAAUAAAGCAAAUAAACUAAAAGGGACAAAUGUUAAGGAAUAAACAACAAGCAACAUAGGGAUCCCAAAAUAUCACCUUAAAUAGAACAAUUUACAUACCGAAACAGUUCCAAAUGCAUGAACAGAUUUAUGGUCUCCUUUAAAAUGAGUUAAAUAUAAAAAUAAAGCAAAAUGUAGAAAUUAAUUAGGAUGCCACUAUUUGCAAAAUGUAGAAAUGAAAACUUCAUAGCAGGACCAUAUAGCAUUUGUUCUUACUUUUUUGACAAAUAAAGCAAAUGAACUAAAAGGGACAAAUGUUAAGAAAUAAACAACAAGCAACAUAGGGAUCCCAAAAUAUCACCUUAAAUAGAACAAUUUACAUACACUAUAUUCAAUAAAGAUAACUGUCAGUAAAAUGAUGCCGGAAUUAGGUAAAUCCCAGCAUUUGGAUGGUGACAGACCACUGUAUUUU